GCCUGGCUGGCUCACUUGGUAGAGCAUGUGACUCUUGAUCUUGGGGUCGUGAGUUCAAUUCUCACGUUGGGCG
This 73-nucleotide transfer RNA is filed under the name Ailuropoda melanoleuca (giant panda). It matches the Rfam family "tRNA". From Rfam's summary of the family: Transfer RNA (tRNA) molecules are approximately 80 nucleotides in length. Their secondary structure includes four short double-helical elements and three loops (D, anti-codon, and T loops). The record is from Rfam by way of RNAcentral. Lineage: Eukaryota; Metazoa; Chordata; Mammalia; Carnivora; Ursidae.